UGGGGAAUUUUGGACAAUGGGGGAAACCCUGAUCCAGCCGUCCCGCGUGUGCGAUGAAGGCCUUCGGGUUGUAAAGCACUUUUGGCAGGAAAGAAACGUCAUGGGUUAAUACCCCGUGAAACUGACGGUACCUGCAGAAUAAGCACCGGCUAACUACGUGCCAGCAGCCGCGGUAAUACGUAGGGUGCAAGCGUUAAUCGGAAUUACUGGGCGUAAAGCGUGCGCAGGCGGUUCGGAAAGAAAGAUGUGAAAUCCCAGAGCUCAACUUUGGAACUGCAUUUUUAACUACCGGGCUAGAGUGUGUCAGAGGGAGGUGGAAUUCCGCGUGUAGCAGUGAAAUGCGUAGAUAUGCGGAGGAACACCGAUGGCGAAGGCAGCCUCCUGGGAUAACACUGACGCUCAUGCACGAAAGCGUGGGGAGCAAACAGG
This 429-nucleotide ribosomal RNA is filed under the name Acidobacteriota bacterium. Its description in RNAcentral is "Acidobacteria bacterium partial 16S ribosomal RNA". It matches the Rfam family "Bacterial small subunit ribosomal RNA", at positions 355 to 776 of the family's 1533-position model. Lineage: Bacteria; Pseudomonadati; Acidobacteriota. The record is from RNAcentral.